RNAcentral lists this ribosomal RNA (756 nucleotides) under uncultured Hyphomicrobiales bacterium. RNAcentral describes it as "bacterial SSU rRNA". It matches the Rfam family "Bacterial small subunit ribosomal RNA", at positions 9 to 791 of the family's 1533-position model. The record is from RNAcentral. Lineage: Bacteria; Pseudomonadati; Pseudomonadota; Alphaproteobacteria; Hyphomicrobiales.
GAGUUUGAUCCUGGCUCAGAAUGAACGCUGGCGGCAGGCCUAACACAUACAAGUCGAACGGAGUUAUAUUGUAGCUUGCUAUGGUAUAACUUAGUGGCAGACGGGUGAGUAAUGUAUAGGAAUCUACCUAGUAGUACGGAAUAAUUGUUGGAAACGGCAACUAAUACCGUAUACGCCCUACGGGGGAAAAAUUUAUUGCUAUUAGAUGAGCCUAUAUUAGAUUAGUUAGUUGGUGAGGUAAAGGCUUACCAAGACAAUGAUCUAUAGCUGAUCUGAGAGGAUGAUCAGCCACACUGGAACUGAGAUACGGUCCAGACUCCUACGGGAGGCAGCAGUGGGGAAUAUUGGACAAUGGGCGAAAGCCUGAUCCAGUCAUGCCGCAUGAGUGAAGAAGGCCUUCGGGUUGUAAAGCUCUUUUAGUGAGGAAGAUAAUGACGGUACUCACAGAAGAAGUCCUGGCUAACUCCGUGCCAGCAGCCGCGGUAAUACGGAGAGGGCUAGCGUUAUUCGGAAUCAUUGGGCGUAAAGGGCGCGUAGGCGGGUUAGUAAGUUAAAAGUGAAAUCCCAAGGCUCAACCUUGGAACUGCUUUUAAAACUGCUAGUCUAGAGAUUGAAAGAGGAUAGAGGAAUUCCUAGUGUAGAGAUGAAAUUCGUAAAUAUUAGGAGGAACACCAGUGGCGAAAGGCGUCUAUCUGGGUUCAAAUCCGACGCUGAGGCGCGAAGGCGUGGGGAGCAAACAGGAUUAGAUACCCUGGU